RNA transcript from Brassica oleracea var. oleracea, 1170 nucleotides. RefSeq lists it as uncharacterized. Lineage: Eukaryota; Viridiplantae; Streptophyta; Magnoliopsida; Brassicales; Brassicaceae. The transcript has 4 exons. The record is from RefSeq and is a predicted model, not a curated record.
UCUUUUCAUAGCUUGCAUAGCUUCUACUGAUCACAUAUAUUGUAUUUUUUUGUAGGGUGACAUGACGAAAAAUCAACCGGGUCAAGGAGUCUGUUGAUCGUUUGAACAUUUCAUGAAACUACUAAGGCAAAUAUUUUAGAUUCGGAAAUCAAAGAAGCAACACAGGGCUGAUGCGUUCUAAACCAAAAGUUUCUAAAGUAAUAUGGAAAAGAUCAAAAGCUGCUAACAUCGCUGCUGCUGCGAUGCCUUCGUCCUUUCAUCUGCACUGUUCCUUUGAAUCUUGCCUUAGUAGCUCUCGUGAAUUUUUCCAUAUGAUUAACUACUUGACCCGGUUGAUGGCAGUCGUGGAGUCCUUAUAUUACAUUUCAAAGGAAGACAAGGAUACUAUUAUAUUAUGGUAUUGGCUCUCCCAUUCACUCUCCUUUGUGAUUUUCUACUAUUAAUAUCAUUAAUGGUAGAUCCAUUUUUUGGCCAUGGUUUAUGGAUAUGCUUCAGACGAGAUUUAUGGGAUAUAUGGAACACUUCAUGGCAAGCGUGAGUAUCCACUACACAUCCUUGGGGAGUUCCUGCAAAAGGUUAUGUGCAUGGAAAUGUUAAGCCAGAAAAUUUCUUACUCGUCUUACAAAGUUAGCGAUUCAUUUCCAUUCAAGUGGAUAAACAAGAAGUGGAGAGAAGGCUUUCAUGUAACCUCAAUGGCAACAGCUGGAAGCAGAUGGGGGUGUUGUUAUGUCCCGCAACUCUGGCUACAGUGAGCAGGUGGUUGAACUGGAUUUUCUGUAUCCGAGUGAAGGCGUCCACAGGCGUUGGGAUGGCGGAUUCAGAAUUACAUCAACAGCAGCAACAACUGAUCAAGCUGCUCUGAUUCUAAGCAUCCCACGGCGUAGACUGGUGGAUAAGACACAAGAGACAUUGCGUACCUCUCAGUUCCCAAGCACACAUGUCAAGGAAAAAUGGGGGAAAAAUAUCUACCUUGCAUCGCUAAAAUUGUGGAAGAACGAGAGAGAGAAAGAUGUUUCUAAAUUUCUAUUUGUACUCUUGUUGUGUCUUAUUUCCAGUUGAAUUGUGAAGGAAAGCGGUGAUUAAUCACCAAUUUAUCUGCACAUUCCCUCUUAAAUUGAUAUUUAAUUGCAUAUCAAAAGAAAUAUAUUUUUUCAUAUCAUUAGACCAUGA